Mya arenaria is the source of this 611-nucleotide long non-coding RNA. RefSeq lists it as uncharacterized. The transcript is spliced from 4 exons. Lineage: Eukaryota; Metazoa; Mollusca; Bivalvia; Myida; Myidae. The record is from RefSeq and is a predicted model, not a curated record.
GAAUGAUUUUGUUUUAUGGAGCUUUGAAGAGCGAUGAAUGGCACUAUAGUGGUGCCAAAUUGAUAUCUCAAACACCCAUUGUUGAUGUGUGAUGCUGAUAAUACAGAGACAGCUAGAGUGACAGAGUUUGAUGAAUAAACUUAAAUUAAAAAACAGAAAUAACCACCAUCUCUCUCAGAGGUCGUCUUUCUCAUUAUUGUGGGGAAACCUCAAAGGGCAUCAGGAAAACCUUCAUCAACCUCUUUGUGCCCAGUGGCUUGUGCAACAGUGUUUCAGAAAUUAUCAUUAAAAUGGGGAUAAUGGAUGACUGGCCACACAUAUGGGGCUAUGGACAAGCUUCAGAGCAGGCUGCUAGGUGGUGGUUUAGUAGUUUAUACUCCGGGUCCCGGCGUGAGCACAUUGAAGGGUCCCAGAGUGACAGUUCAACCACCGCACACCUAUCCUGGGCAGAACCAGUACUAGGUGCCUUCACCUCUGCAAGGAACUGACAACUUCUGUACAUGCCAGGGGCAGUGGUACAGUGCGAAUGGUCGUAGAAAGGAUUUCAUAACCAAUCACAACAGAGGUGACCUGGUCCGCCCGGGAAUCGAACCGGGGUUGUCCAAUUCAGA